Phyllopteryx taeniolatus (common seadragon) is the source of this 85-nucleotide small nucleolar RNA. RefSeq annotates it as small nucleolar RNA SNORD70. The record is from RefSeq and is a predicted model, not a curated record. The transcript has a single exon. NCBI's taxonomy places the organism in Eukaryota, Metazoa, Chordata, Actinopteri, Syngnathiformes, Syngnathidae.
AAAUCUGUGGUCUAUGAUGAAUUUUAUUGUCUGAGUUAAUGGUGAAGUAGAUCUUAUUCGUCACUACCCCUGAGACCACAAACUA